GACAGAGGUUGCAAACGUUGUUCGGAAUUACUGGGCAUAAAGCGCACGUAGGCGGUCCACUAAGUCAGGUGUGAAAUCCCCCGGCUCAACCGGGGAAUUGCGCCUGAUACUGGCGGGCUCGAGAUCGGUAGGGGUGAGCGGAACUCCAGGCGGAGCGGUGAAAUGCGUAGAUAUCUGGAGGAACACCGGUGGCGAAAGCGGCUCACUGGAUCGACACUGACGCUGAGGUGCGAAAGCUAGGGUAGCAAACGGG
RNAcentral lists this ribosomal RNA (253 nucleotides) under uncultured bacterium. Its description in RNAcentral is "partial 16S ribosomal RNA". It matches the Rfam family "Bacterial small subunit ribosomal RNA", at positions 524 to 776 of the family's 1533-position model. The record is from RNAcentral.